AAUGUUGCGCCGGUGUGUACGGGCUACUUUGAUGCUGUAGAAAACAGGGAUAUCCCUCAACAUUU
RNAcentral lists this transfer RNA (65 nucleotides) under Chamberlainia hainesiana. RNAcentral describes it as "tRNA-Ile". The record is from RNAcentral. Lineage: Eukaryota; Metazoa; Mollusca; Bivalvia; Unionida; Unionidae.